UAAUUUAAAGUCUAACCUGCCCACUGAAAUUUUAAAUGGCCGUGGUAUUUUGACCGUGCUAAGGUAGCAUAAUCAUUAGUUUUUUAAUUAAAAGCUGGAAUGAAAGGUUGCAUAAAAAAAUAACUGUCUCUAUUUAAUUUUAUUAGAAUUUUAUUUUUAAGUUAAAAAGCUUAAUUAUUUUUAAAAGACGAGAAGACCCUUUAGAGUUUUAUUAUUAUUUAAAAAUUUUAUUUUAGUAUUAAUUUAAUAUUUUUAUAAAAUAAUUUAAUUGGGGUGAUUGAAAAAUUAAAAUAACUUUUUUUUAUUUUUAACAUUAAUUUAUGAAUUAAUGAUCCAUAUAUAAUGAUUAUAAGAUUAAAUUACCUAAGGGAUAACAGCGUAAUUUUUUUAGAAAGUUCAUAUUAAAAAAAAAGAUUGUGACCUCGAUGUUGGAUUAAAAUUAAUUUUUGGUGUAGAAGCUAAAAUAUUGGGUCUGUUCGACCUUUAAAAUUUUA
RNAcentral lists this ribosomal RNA (494 nucleotides) under Ambrostoma quadriimpressum. RNAcentral describes it as "partial 16S large subunit ribosomal RNA". The stretch from base 370 to 494 matches the Rfam family "Bacterial large subunit ribosomal RNA", at positions 2473 to 2598 of the family's 2925-position model. Lineage: Eukaryota; Metazoa; Arthropoda; Insecta; Coleoptera; Chrysomelidae. The record is from RNAcentral.